UACGUAGGGGGCUAGCGUUGUCCGGAAUCAUUGGGCGUAAAGAGCGUGUAGGCGGCUUGGUAAGUCCGCUGUGAAAGUCCAGGGCUCAACCCUGGAAAGCCAGUGGAUACUGUCAAGCUAGAGUCCGGAAGAGGCGAGUGGAAUUCCUGGUGUAGCGGUGAAAUGCGCAGAUAUCAGGAGGAACACCAAUGGCGAAGGCAGCUCGCUGGGACGGUACUGACGCUGAGACGCGAAAGCGUGGGGAGCAAACAGGAUUAGAUACCCUGGUAGUCCACGCUGUAAACGAUGGGCACUAGGUGUGGGGGGUGUCGACUCCCUCCGUGCCGACGCUAACGCAUUAAGUGCCCCGCCUGGGGAGUACGGCCGCAAGGCUAAA
RNAcentral lists this ribosomal RNA (376 nucleotides) under uncultured bacterium. RNAcentral describes it as "bacterial SSU rRNA". It matches the Rfam family "Bacterial small subunit ribosomal RNA", at positions 524 to 898 of the family's 1533-position model. The record is from RNAcentral.